Molecule: small nuclear RNA, 199 nt
Organism: Musa acuminata AAA Group (dessert banana)
Lineage: Eukaryota; Viridiplantae; Streptophyta; Magnoliopsida; Zingiberales; Musaceae
Product: U2 spliceosomal RNA
Exons: 1
Source: RefSeq, a predicted model, not a curated record
AUACCUUUCUCGGCCUUUUGGCUAAGAUCAAGUGUAGUAUCUGUUCUUAUCAGUUUAAUAUCUGAUACGUGGGUCAUCGACCCACUAUGAUAUUAAAUUAAUUUUUUUUUGGGGGGAGGGUCCACUACAGUGGCUAGCCACUGGGUCCCUCGUGCGUCGUCCAUCCGUUGCACUGCUGCAUGGGCCAGGCGCACCCCGA